UUACUUAUUUUUCAGGGUAGCGUAGUGAAGGAAAAGCAGGAGACAGUGCGUGCAUAUUUUAUCCACGUCCAUACAAACCUCACCUGUAAAUCACCUGCCAUACAGCGUUCAUUAAGAGGGAAUACCUGAGAGUCACCUGAGUGGUUCUUCUUCACGUGGAAUUUGAUAACACAUCUCCAGAUGGCCGAGAGUUGAGGAAUCUUGAUCUCGGUCUGAAGGGAAAGCUAAAACAUUUACAUCCUUCUGAACCCACACACGGGGAAUCCAAUCUCCCGAGGGCCGCGCCGGGAAGCCUCUUUGGUGUGCUUCAUCCAGUCAAAGAAAACCAUUAAGGUGAAGUGAUCAGAUUUCCCCAGCCAGUGUUCGUGGCAGCCUCAGGAAUGGAAAAGGAAUGGGCGAGGCGUGUGUGUGUCUUUCUGGGAGCGCGAGGAAGAAUGGCUGAGGAAGGAAGUGGGGAAGGAAGAAGGAAGUGUGUGCUUAAGGCGUCUCAGCAACAAGGUCAUAUGGCGCAGCUAGAUAGAGGGAAGAAAAUUAAAGAAGAAAGUGAUUAUGAUUGUAAGGAAACAAAAACGAAGGGAAAAAAGUGCUAUUAUAUAAGGAAAUAUAAGAAAAAUUAUUAUGUAAGGAAAUAUAAGGGAAGAGAAGAAACCGAUUAUUUAAGAAAGGAUAAGAAAAGGCUGUUAGGUAAGGAAAAGAAAGGGGAAGGGAAAAAUGAUUACGUAAGAAGAUAAAAAAUAUUAAACCAAAAAAUAAAAUAGAAAAAGAUUACUAUUUCAGAAAAGAAAAUAUUAUGUAACUAGAAAACUAAUCAUGUAAGAAAAAGAAAAGAACAACAAAGUCAUUACAUAAGAAAACAUAAGAGAAAAAUGGUUAUGUAAGAAAAUGAAAAGAAGUAAAAUAUUAUGUAAGAAAACAUAAAUGAUAGUGACUGUGUUUGCUUGUAAGUUCACAAAGUAUGUAGAUUUAACUUGAGUCAGAUGCCAAGGUAAUUCAAUCACCAACAUAUAAAAUUUUAAAACUACGUACAGUUUUCCUCGAUACAAGAGAAAUAUUGAAUGCACGACGUGAUAGGUAGGCACACAGAAGGUUUGUAAGCAUAUCUACAUGCGUGCAAAUGCGUAAGUCAGUUGAGCCAGAUAACAAAGCCAUGCAAGCACGAGUGUGUAAAAUGCAUAAAGUUUUGUAUAAUAUUCCCUGGACAUGACAAGUGGAAUGGAAAACACACGCACGUACUCGUACAUACAUAAUACACGUAUCACGAAUUUUACAUCGCAGGAAUUUUACAACCGUGAUUAAUAUUUGAAACGCGCAACUCAUUUCCUAUUACAUUAUUUCGGAACGGGAGGAAUACUAAACACAAUUAAAAAGCAAUAGUGAAACGUGAAAAUCCGAGGAGAUUGAAGGAAGAGAAACUAAAAAAAAAAAAAAAAAAAAAACAA
This is a long non-coding RNA of Scylla paramamosain (green mud crab), 1439 nucleotides long. RefSeq lists it as uncharacterized. Lineage: Eukaryota; Metazoa; Arthropoda; Malacostraca; Decapoda; Portunidae. The transcript has 3 exons. The record is from RefSeq and is a predicted model, not a curated record.